This 310-nucleotide long non-coding RNA is filed under the name Androctonus crassicauda. The record is from RNAcentral. Lineage: Eukaryota; Metazoa; Arthropoda; Arachnida; Scorpiones; Buthidae.
GCUGUUGGAUUUGAGGUGUGACGACGCGACAGUGACGUUUCGGAUGGAUGUACCGUUGUUGGAUUUGGGAUGUGACGACGGCGACGUUGGAUCGCGUGAUCAGCGUUUUGCCGUCAAAGGCUGGCGUUGGGGACAUUCUGCGCAUGCGCGGGGUCGCUGGCCGCGCGCCGUCCUUGCGGUGCGGCGGUCCUGGCGGCGCGGCGCGGGGGCCGUUGCGGCGGGGCGCGCUUGGGGGGGCGGCCGCCGUCGCCGGGGGUGGCGUCACGAAGGGUGGGGGGCUUUGAAUCGCUAUAGUUCCGUGGUGGUUACC